UGGCCAGGGGUGGAGUGGGGGCGCGGUGCCGAGACCGGUCCGUUCGGGCGCGGUCUCCAGUCCUCUUUUUGCCCUCAGCAUUGGGGAGAAUCUUCAGCUGCUGGUGGACCGGCCCGAUGGCACCUACUGUUUCCGUCUGCACAACGACCGGGUGUACUAUGUGAGUGAGAAGAUUAUGAAGCUGGCCGCCAAUAUUUCCGGGGACAAGCUGGUGUCGCUGGGGACCUGCUUUGGAAAAUUCACUAAAACCCACAAGUUUCGGUUGCACGUCACAGCUCUGGAUUACCUUGCACCUUAUGCCAAGUAUAAAGUUUGGAUAAAACCUGGUGCAGAGCAGUCCUUCCUCUAUGGGAACCAUGUGUUGAAAUCUGGUCUGGGUCGAAUCACUGAAAAUACUUCUCAGUACCAGGGCGUGGUGGUGUACUCCAUGGCAGA
This 435-nucleotide small RNA is filed under the name Pongo abelii (Sumatran orangutan). Its description in RNAcentral is "retained intron". The record is from RNAcentral. Lineage: Eukaryota; Metazoa; Chordata; Mammalia; Primates; Hominidae.